Long non-coding RNA from Prunus persica (peach), 1225 nucleotides. RefSeq lists it as uncharacterized. The transcript has 2 exons. NCBI's taxonomy places the organism in Eukaryota, Viridiplantae, Streptophyta, Magnoliopsida, Rosales, Rosaceae. The record is from RefSeq and is a predicted model, not a curated record.
UUUUGAAAAAUAUCGAACGGCAAAGAAGGGUGCUUUGACCGUCCCAUCAUCCCCAUAAAACCCAAAGCCAUUUUAAGUUUGAAGCAGAUGAUGGAACUGGAAAACAGGGGUGGGAAAGGCAUAGUAGGGUUUAGGAAGUUUUUGGAAUGAGCGUGUUGGAAAAGAAAAAGACUCAACAACCCAUGUUUCUUUGCCAACCCCGCCCAUUCCAAAUAUUUUCUAAGCCUACUGUCUUUCCCUUUCUCUCUUGUUUUUUCACUAGACAACAGAUUCAACAAACCAAGCAACUUUCUUCUUGUUUGCUUGCGAUAUCAUACAGAGAGAGAGAGAGAGAGAGAGAGAGAGAGAAAUGAAAAGAGAAGAAGGGAAGAAGGGGGAAAGGAAGUUGCAGUAGGGAGUUAGGGGAAUGGGAGGAUUGGGAAAAACAUGCACCCCAAGUGUUCGUGAAUAUUACACAAGGAACACAAAAAAGGACUUCUUCCCAAACCUCCCAUUCCUAUUAUUUCCUACAGUUGCUCUCUUUCCCUACCUUUUCCCAUUUUGAUUCGUCAUUGUACUCUGUGAGAUUGACUUAUUACAACUGAAAUACUGAUUUGUCUUCUUUUCUGUGUUUUAAAACUAUGUUCUGAUGUUCAUGUUCCGAUCUUUAGGUGGCUUGGGUGAUUCAUUAGUGUUGUUCUCCAUUUUCUUUGCCCUUUUGCUCGUUUUAUGGGCUGAUCCUUCAAAUAAAUACCGAAGCGUCGAUGGAUACCCAGGCCGAUGUUUUAUGAAUUAUACAAGUCACAAGUCAAGUGAGCUUAGCUCUGCCGAUGGUGAUAGAGAGCGAGGCAAUAGCGCAGAAAAUAAUGGGGUUUAAGGCUUUUAAUGCAUAGGUUCAAACGUAAAUCUGAGAUAUAUUGUUAACAACAACCAGUGAGAAAUGUCUUUGCAGCUCACAAUCAGAAGAAUCAUCUCUGAAUACUUUACUAGGGUUUUUUUUUGCACUUCCAUCAGUUUUCGUUAGUAUUGCAAAGUUUGCGAUUUCUUAUCCUACUCUUAAGCGGCGAUUUCUUAUCCAAAGGCUGAUCUCGGCUCUGCAUCACCCUUCACCAUAUUAAUGAACCGACCAAAUACCCAUUGGUGUGGUGGUGGUCAAUAUGGAGAGAGAUCAAAACUAUUUUUCUUUCUCUGGUUAAGGGAUUACGCAGUCCAAAGAUGGCCUAAUAGAAAAUUUUCAUUGGUUUAA